Phyllosticta capitalensis is the source of this 111-nucleotide non-coding RNA. Lineage: Eukaryota; Fungi; Ascomycota; Dothideomycetes; Botryosphaeriales; Phyllostictaceae. The record is from the annotation of a GenBank genome assembly.
GGUCGCUUAGCUCAGUUGGUUAGAGCGUGGUGCUAAUACUGGCGGUUCUCGACACAACGAGGAUCUUGAAAGAUAACGCCAAGGUCGCGAGUUCGACCCUCGUAGUGACCA